Molecule: ribosomal RNA, 254 nt
Filed under: uncultured bacterium
Lineage: Bacteria
Description: partial 16S ribosomal RNA
Rfam family: Bacterial small subunit ribosomal RNA
Source: RNAcentral
GACGUAGGGGGCGAGCGUUGUCCGGAUUCAUUGGGCGUAAAGAGCUCGUAGGCGGUUUGAUAAGUCGGGUGUGAAAUCUCCAGGCUCAACCUGGAGAGGUCACUCGAGACUGUUAUGACUAGAGUCCGGUAGGGGACCACGGAAUUCCUGGUGUAGCGGUGAAAUGCGCAGAUAUCAGGAGGAACACCAGUGGCGAAGGCGGUGGUCUGGGCCGGAACUGACGCUGAGGAGCGAAAGCGUGGGUAGCAAACAGG